Molecule: ribosomal RNA, 521 nt
Filed under: uncultured Glomus
Lineage: Eukaryota; Fungi; Glomeromycota; Glomeromycetes; Glomerales; Glomeraceae
Description: SSU rRNA
Rfam family: Eukaryotic small subunit ribosomal RNA
Source: RNAcentral
AGCAGCCGCGGUAAUUCCAGCUCCAAUAGCGUAUAUUAAAGUUGUUGCAGUUAAAAAGCUCGUAGUUGAAUUUCGGGAUCAAUACGCCGGUCGUGCUUCGGUACGUACUAACGAUAUUGAUUUCUCCCUUCUGACGAACCGUGAUGUCAUUAAUUUGGUGUUACGGGGAGUCAGGACUGUUACUUUGAAAAAAUUAGAGUGUUUAAAGCAAGCAAUCGCUCGAAUACAUUAGCAUGGAAUAAUGAAAUAGGACGUUCGAACCUAUUUUGUUGGUUUCUAGGAUCGACGUAAUGAUUAAUAGGGAUAGUUGGGGGCAUUAGUAUUCAAUUGUCAGAGGUGAAAUUCUUGGAUUUAUUGAAGACUAACUACUGCGAAAGCAUUUGCCAAGGAUGUUUUCAUUAAUCAAGAACGAAAGUUAGGGGAUCGAAGACGAUCAGAUACCGUCGUAGUCUUAACCAUAAACUAUGCCGACUAGGGAUCGGAUGAUGUUAAUUUUUUAAUGACUCAUUCGGCGCCUUACG